Molecule: long non-coding RNA, 239 nt
Organism: Bradysia coprophila
Lineage: Eukaryota; Metazoa; Arthropoda; Insecta; Diptera; Sciaridae
Source: RefSeq, a predicted model, not a curated record
UGAUAAAUUUUGCGGAUGUCAUAUUUUCGGCCGUUUAUUAUCAAAUUUUUUAAAGUUAAUAUUUGCCGGGAGUACUCGACCUCAGCUUUCCAACGAACCCAUACACGCCUGUGUCCUCGCCACUUUACGGAAAUAAAAUCCGAACUACGAAACCAUAUUUUUCGACGUUUGGCCGCUUACAACCAGCCAAGUAUGGAAGAUCAAAAAUAUAUGAGCUGGGCCCUAUAGUCGGUAUAAAC